CAUUACACGGUAGACAGUGAGAGAAACUGUAAACCAGCAAAUUAAGGCCAGAAUUACAAGGGAUGACAUUUUAUUUUAUUCAGACUGAAGACUAAGUAGUUUGGAGUAACAGUGUGACUUUCUAUUUCAGGGUAUAGAUAAGAAGACAUGGUUAUUUAUGCAGAAAGUAAAUCUCAUAAACAUUUACUAUUUCACUCGGGAGUAAGGAAUCUUCUCAAUGCUUAUGGAUCACAAUAUUUAUCUUUGACUAUCCUGGUAAUUGCUAUGUGAAUCAUGUUCACCUAGAAGACAUAGAGACCUGCCUACUUCUACCUCUGGAGUAUUGGGAUUAAAGAUGUGUAUCACCA
Non-coding RNA from Peromyscus maniculatus bairdii (prairie deer mouse), 347 nucleotides. Lineage: Eukaryota; Metazoa; Chordata; Mammalia; Rodentia; Cricetidae. The record is from RefSeq and is a predicted model, not a curated record.